RNAcentral lists this long non-coding RNA (362 nucleotides) under Vulpes vulpes (red fox). RNAcentral describes it as "lncRNA (ENSVVUG00000007550.1)". Lineage: Eukaryota; Metazoa; Chordata; Mammalia; Carnivora; Canidae. The record is from RNAcentral.
UGUUAACCAAAUAUUCAAGUAUAUCUCCAUCACAGAAUCUGAUUCCCUUCUUAUGCUUCACAGAUUGCUUUGUUUUGUAUUUCUCCUGUUCUAAUAAAUAUAUCAUUACUCAUCCCUUCUUUCUCCUCUAUUUUUCUUUCAGAGGCAAAGUUCGUAAAGUCCUCCAUAUUUUUAUGGUUAUAUUUUUCUUGAAUUUAAAAAUAAAUAUGAACACCAAAGAAAAAUAUCAUCCUAAUAUAGCUGCACAUUUGUUUCCUGAGAAUACAGUUAUCUAGAAAAUAUGCUUUCACAAUUAGACUGGGGACUGAAGACACCAUGAUCAGAGGAACACAGUACGUAAAAUAAAUUGCACGUUAUACACA